This 610-nucleotide ribosomal RNA is filed under the name Limnobacter sp. RNAcentral's name for it is "bacterial SSU rRNA". It matches the Rfam family "Bacterial small subunit ribosomal RNA", at positions 32 to 641 of the family's 1533-position model. Lineage: Bacteria; Pseudomonadati; Pseudomonadota; Betaproteobacteria; Burkholderiales; Burkholderiaceae. The record is from RNAcentral.
GGGGAUUGCGCUGCCUUAACAUGCAGUCGAACGGUAACAGGGAGCUUGCUCCGCUGACGAGUGGCGAACGGGUGAGUAAUACAUCGGAACGUGCCCAGUAAUGGGGGAUAGCUCGGCGAAAGCCGGAUUAAUACCGCAUACGCCCUGAGGGGGAAAGUGGGGGACCGCAAGGCCUCACGUUAUUGGAGCGGCCGAUGGCUGAUUAGCUAGUUGGUAGGGUAAAGGCCUACCAAGGCGACGAUCAGUAGCUGGUCUGAGAGGACGAUCAGCCACACUGGGACUGAGACACGGCCCAGACUCCUACGGGAGGCAGCAGUGGGGAAUUUUGGACAAUGGGGGAAACCCUGAUCCAGCAAUGCCGCGUGUGCGAAGAAGGCCUUCGGGUUGUAAAGCACUUUUGUCAGGGAAGAAAUCCUUUGGGCUAAUACCCUAGGGGGAUGACGGUACCUGAAGAAUAAGCACCGGCUAACUACGUGCCAGCAGCCGCGGUAAUACGUAGGGUGCAAGCGUUAAUCGGAAUUACUGGGCGUAAAGCGUGCGCAGGCGGUUGUGUAAGACAGGUGUGAAAUCCCCGGGCUUAACCUGGGAAUUGCAUUUGUGACUGCACGAC